RNAcentral lists this ribosomal RNA (497 nucleotides) under uncultured bacterium. Its description in RNAcentral is "partial 16S ribosomal RNA". It matches the Rfam family "Bacterial small subunit ribosomal RNA", at positions 28 to 507 of the family's 1533-position model. The record is from RNAcentral.
GAUGAACGCUGGCGGCGUGCCUAAUACAUGCAAGUCGAGCGAACGGACGAGAAGCUUGCUUCUCUGAUGUUAGCGGCGGACGGGUGAGUAACACGUGGAUAACCUACCUAUAAGACUGGGAUAACUUCGGGAAACCGGAGCUAAUACCGGAUGAUAUUUUGAACCGCAUGGUUCAAAAGUGAAAGACGGUCUUGCUGUCACUUAUAGCUGGAUCCGCGCUGCAUUAGCUAGUUGGUAAGGUAACGGCUUACCAAGGCAACGAGGCAUAGCCGACCUGAGAGGGUGAUCGGCCACACUGGAACUGAGACACGGUCCAGACUCCUACGGGAGGCAGCAGUAGGGAAUCUUCCGCAAUGGGCGAAAGCCUGACGGAGCAACGCCGCGUGAGUGAUGAAGGUCUUCGGAUCGUAAAACUCUGUUAUUAGGGAAGAACAUAUGUGUAAGUAACUGUGCACAUCUUGACGGUACCUAAUCAGAAAGCCACGGCUAACUACGUG